Molecule: long non-coding RNA, 1615 nt
Filed under: Homo sapiens (human)
Lineage: Eukaryota; Metazoa; Chordata; Mammalia; Primates; Hominidae
Description: non-protein coding lnc-CCDC172-1:2
Source: RNAcentral
GGCAGUGCUCGGGAUCUUUGCUGAUGUCCAAGUUCAUCUCUCGGGGAGACCGAGUUUGAAUCAAAUCUGCGUGCGCCCAGCUGUCAAAUCUGCAAACCUAUCACGCCAGACAAUGGGCCGCCGCGGAGGACAGACAAGAAUGGCUCAUUUUGAUCGAGGGGGGUAAAUUGAAAAGGGCACGGGCUUUGGUUGAAGUUUGAGGCCCGGGUGUCAGGGCGGGGAGAAGAAGAGGAGGAAGGAGGAGGGUUGGGCCGCUCUCCAUUCAACCACACAUCAGCCAGGCGCGCCCCUCGGCUGCAGCGGCUGCUUGCAGGCGGGCUGCAUAUUGUGUGGAGUCGCCAAAGAGGGUCUGCGCCUCGGGGCGCGCCCCAAACCCGGGGGACAUCCUACGGAUCCGCACUUCUCUUGUGCUGUACGCGUGUUCCUCCAGGUCUCUUGUAGAAGUCAAAGAAUCGAUGAAGACACAGCCCACUUCUGGUAUGUCAGGAUGAGAUCAGCAGGCAAAGAAGCCAGGGAGUAGGAGAAUCUAUAUGUCAAAAGCUGAUCUUCCAAGGAAAGCUGUGAACAGAAAGAUGUGGCCCAUACUGUAGCCUAAGACUUCCCGUAGUAGGAGCUAAUAAAAAUAAUAAUUAAAAAAAUCACUGCUUUACAACUACAUCCAUUAACUUUUUUUUUUCUUUUUUUCUUCUUUUUUUUGAGACAGAGUCUCGAGCUGUCGCCUGGGCUGGAGUGCAGUGGCAUGAUCUCAGCUCACUGCAACCUCUGCCUCCUGGGUUCAAGCAAUUCUCCUGUCUCAACCUCCUAAGUAGCUGGGAUUACAGGCACCCACCACCACAACCAACUAAUUUUUUUGUAUUUUUAGUAGAGAUGGGAUUUCAGUAUGUUGGCCAGGCUGGUCUCAAACUCCUAACCUUGUGAUCCACCCACCUCAGCCUCCCAAAGUGCUGGGAUUACAGGCGUGAACCACCACGCCCGGCCUACAUCCACUAACUUCUAAAGCCAGUUAUGGUCAUGUGGCCAGAUCUGAUGAAUCAGAUGUGGCAGAAAGGAUGCGAAGAAGCUCUGAGCAGGUGCCCUCCCUCUACAUGUUCCCACCAUCCUGCGUCCUUGUGCUGCGCCGGACCAGGCAUGCAAGAACAACACACCAAGGAUGGCGGAGCAACAAGAUAGAAGAGGCCUGAGUCCCAGGAUGACUGCCUGGAGCACAGCUGUCUGCCUGCUCAGGGCCUUGUGUCACAUACUAUAAUGUGAGAGACAAAUAAACUUGUCAUAUUUAAGCCAGUAUUAUAUUGGGUCUUCGAUACAUGCAAACAGUCUUUGUAGAACUCAUGCACCCAAAUUAUAAUGAAAGAGAAGUAAAGGAAAAUAAAUUCAAAAAACAAUUGUUUAUUGAAUAUCUAUCAGGGACCAGCCCUCUGCUAGGCUGCUAUGGGAAAUACAGAAUAAUAUUGACUCUGAAGGAAAGUGUAAUUUCACUGGGGAGAUGAGCUGCAUAUCUGAAAUAAUCAAACCAUAUUGUAAAGAAGUGUAGGAAUAAUUGUCAACAUGAGUGGAAAUAAAAAUAACAGUCAGAGGAGAUAGGAAGAAAGGUAGAAAAUGAAAUGGAGUCAUGCCA